CUGUUACCCCACACCAGGUCCUUCUCUUCCAGUUGCCUCCCUGCUGGUGAUGCUCCACAGCCUGAUCCCUGCACCAGGGCAUCUCCAGCCCUGCAGAGGAUAUCCAAGGACUGUAAUAUUUGGACAUCCUCUGUUGAUAGGCAGGCUACAUAUAUUUAGCAGGUCUUUUUCUGUUCUCACUGCCUGGGACCCUACAGGUAGCUAAUGCUUAGCUAUUCCCUGUCAGAUGGGAAAUUUUGCAAAGCUCUGGAAAUCUUUUGAAAUUUCAAUAGUGCCACGUGGUGUCAGUCUGCAAAACUGGUAAGAAACUACAAAAUGGAGAGCACUACACCCUCUACUUCUGUAAUCAUCAGAUUGCAGAAAAAGAAACAUGAGGAGCUACUGUUAUCAGUAUGUGUGCGCUUGUCCUCACUUCUGUUCCUGUGCAUAGCCUUGUGCACAUGGUUGGAGCCUUUAAUAACACCCGGAUGCAAUGGAGCAGACUCAGAAAUAAAGCAGCAGGAGCAGACACCACAUCCGUCCUUAGAUGUUGUCACUGAUGUUUGUUUCUGUGCUGAUUUUGCUGAGCAUGCAUACUGUGGAUGACUUGAUGAAGAGGGGCCCAGCAAGACCUACAUGCCAAAGGACAGCACGGUAAAAAGUUAUUGAAAUGUUACCAGCAACUGCCUCCUAGCAAAGAAAGAACCAUGUUAUGGAAAGUAAUGUCCUUUUUUUUUUUUUUUUCAAGGAAAACUCAUGCUCCCACUCGGUAUCAAUUAAGAAGAAAAAAUGCUGGGAAAAUGGUAUGGACACAACAUAAACUGCCUUUCUGGAAAUGGGGUCUGCACAGAGGUUCCGUGACCCACCAAGUGCUCUUCUGUAGACUUCAGCCAGGUAUAUUUAGCUUGGAAAUCCAAGUUUUCUAUGCCAGAAAUCAGACUUUUUUUCCAUUUCGUCUAUGACACCUAAUAUACAAUGCUUUCUUCACAAAAGGGAAUGGGACAAAAGCAAAUAGGAACACUUUGAAACACUGGGGUUUUUUUCUUCUGCUGGUGUAAGCUGCACUCGCAUUACCAUGCUGCUGCUAGCAGCUGGCAUGAUUUAAACCAUUCUGUGUGCUCUGUAUUCCCAGCCACUGCCAAACAAAAAGGCAUCCAUUCUGCAAACAGCACUGAGCAAAGGCGGCACAGGGCAACACACUCUCCAACUAGGACAAAAUGGGCAAUUUUCAAAAACACAUUGUAUAAAGGACUCUCAAGGCAUCAGCAAAAAUUGCAAUUGUGUUUGGAUCCAGCUUUCCAUUUUCAAAAUGCCUUUUUAUGGGCUUACAUGGCAAAAAUCUGAUGAUUGUUUGUUCAGUGCACAUAUCCUUGCCUCCUGGCGUGGGCUGUUUUUCCAUGCUCUUACUGGCAGAAGAGCUUCAUUAC
Long non-coding RNA from Oxyura jamaicensis (ruddy duck), 1406 nucleotides. RefSeq lists it as uncharacterized. Lineage: Eukaryota; Metazoa; Chordata; Aves; Anseriformes; Anatidae. The record is from RefSeq and is a predicted model, not a curated record. The transcript has 3 exons.